This 279-nucleotide ribosomal RNA is filed under the name uncultured bacterium. Its description in RNAcentral is "partial 16S ribosomal RNA". It matches the Rfam family "Bacterial small subunit ribosomal RNA", at positions 506 to 784 of the family's 1533-position model. The record is from RNAcentral.
UGCCAGCAGCCGCGGUAAUACGGAGGGGGUUAGCGUUAAUCGGAAUUACUGGGCGUAAAGCGCAUGCAGGUGGUUCAUUAAGUCGGAUGUGAAAGCCCCGGGCUCAACCUGGGAACUGCAUUCGAUACUGGCAGACUAGAGUGCGGGAGAGGGAGGUAGAAUUCCAUGUGUAGCGGUGAAAUGCGUAGAUAUGUGGAGGAAUACCAGUGGCGAAGGCGGCCUCCUGGCUCGACACUGACACUGAGGCGCGAAAGCGUGGGGAGCAAACAGGAUUAGAUA